UAUUCGUGUUUUAUAGGCGAUGUAUAAUUCAAACUGUAAUUGAAACUUUCAUUACGGCACAGUUAUUUAGUAAUUGCUACAGCCGAUGUAGAUUUAAAUCUGCAAAUGCUAUUGAUAUCGGUUGACAUAUGGUAAAUGUUUAUUGAUGUUCAAUCGUUUAAAGUGAACUACCAUCGAAAGCAGUUGUUUAUACCAGGGUGGAAGUUCAUCAUACAUUUCCUCGGCACAAUUCCGAUUUCUUUGGCGCCGCGAUUUAAAGGUACCGUUGGAAAAACGAAGGGCUGCAAUUUAGUAUAGCAUCCCCGGAUUUCGGGGUUAAAAUGGAAGUUGUUCUACAACUUUCACACGUACAAGUUAACUCCAAAGCAUUUUAAGGAUAAGCUGGUGCAUGUAAGAGAUAAAUAAUCUAUGGUUACAACUCCAAGGUUUUAGCUCUGCAGCAUAUAUAGGAGGUGGCAAAUAAUUCGGUCAACCGACGUACUUUUUGGGAUCUCCAGGAGUUACUGUUAUUUGCUAUACAGUCAUUGACCAAAUAUAGGAAACUAAAGAAAGACAAUUCCAGACGUAAAGUUAAGCUGCGUUUACUGCCGAAAUAGAUUUUCUUAAGUGUGCCAUCGCGAUGGCUGCUCCAGCAGCCUGUACGCGUUUUUCCGAUAAUUAUGAAAUUAAGGAGGAACUUGGAAAGGGCGCCUUCUCUGUCGUCAAACGUUGUGUUCAAAAAUCAACACAAUUCGAGUUCGCAGCGAAAAUAAUCAACACAAAGAAACUCACCGCAAGAGAUUUCCAAAAAUUAGAGCGAGAAGCUAGAAUUUGUAGAAAACUACAUCAUCCUAAUAUCGUCAGACUGCACGAUAGCAUACAAGAAGAAAACUAUCAUUAUUUGGUGUUUGAUCUUGUUACUGGUGGUGAGCUGUUUGAAGAUAUUGUUGCGCGUGAAUUUUAUUCAGAGGCUGAUGCAUCGCAUUGCAUUCAACAAAUUUUGGAAUCGGUUAAUCAUUGCCAUCAGAAUGGUGUGGUGCAUCGUGAUCUGAAACCAGAAAAUUUACUAUUAGCUAGUAAAGCUAAGGGUGCAGCUGUUAAACUCGCCGACUUCGGCUUAGCCAUAGAAGUUCAGGGCGACCAUCAGGCAUGGUUCGGUUUUGCCGGUACUCCUGGCUACUUAUCGCCGGAGGUGCUGAAAAAGGAGCCAUAUGGCAAAUCGGUAGAUAUAUGGGCAUGUGGAGUUAUUUUAUAUAUUUUAUUAGUCGGUUAUCCACCUUUUUGGGAUGAGGAUCAACAUCGUCUUUACUCUCAAAUAAAGGCUGGUGCAUAUGAUUAUCCAUCGCCCGAAUGGGAUACCGUAACACCUGAAGCAAAAAACUUGAUAAAUCAAAUGCUAACAGUUAAUCCAAAUAAGAGAAUUACUGCAGCUGAAGCGCUGAAGCAUCCAUGGAUUUGCCAAAGAGAGCGUGUGGCUUCGGUGGUUCAUCGCCAAGAAACUGUGGAUUGUCUCAAAAAAUUCAAUGCUCGGCGUAAACUUAAGGGUGCUAUUCUUACUACAAUGUUAGCAACCAGAAAUUUUUCAAGUAGGAGUAUGAUUACCAAGAAAGGUGAGGGAUCUCAAGUUAAGGAAUCAACAGAUUCCUCAAGUACAACACUAGAGGAUGACGACGUUAAGGAAGAUAAAAAGGGAAUUGUUGAUCGCAGCACAACAGUCAUAUCAAAAGAGCCCGAAGAAAUAAGGAUUGUUUGUCCAGCGAAAACUUCUCAACAAAUGUCAUCCAAUUCUCAAUGCACAGCAAGACGUCAGGAAAUAAUUAAAAUAACUGAACAACUGAUUGAGGCCAUAAAUAGCGGUGACUUCGAUGGAUACACCAAAAUUUGUGAUCCUCACUUAACUGCAUUUGAGCCUGAAGCUUUAGGCAACCUGGUCGAAGGAAUUGAUUUCCAUAAAUUUUACUUUGAGAACGGAGAAAAAAAUUCAAAUCUGGAUGUAAUGUCCUGCUCAAAAUUAUUAGUCAAACGCCGCAUAUAAAUUAUGGAAUAUUUUUCGAUUCUACUAUAUAUUUACAAUAACCUAAGUAAACGGUUUAUAGUCAAUCGGAAAGUCGAAAAUCACUAUAUUGGUUCUGGGCAAAAAUUGCAAAGCUAUAAAUACUACUAUUCUGAAUCCUCAUGUCCACUUGCUGGGAGAAGAUGCAGCAUGCAUUGCCUAU
This 2195-nucleotide unclassified non-coding RNA is filed under the name Bactrocera tryoni. Its description in RNAcentral is "calcium/calmodulin-dependent protein kinase type II alpha chain, transcript variant X9". The record is from RNAcentral. Lineage: Eukaryota; Metazoa; Arthropoda; Insecta; Diptera; Tephritidae.